Molecule: ribosomal RNA, 467 nt
Filed under: uncultured bacterium
Lineage: Bacteria
Description: partial 16S ribosomal RNA
Rfam family: Bacterial small subunit ribosomal RNA
Source: RNAcentral
GACGAACGCUGGCGGCGUGCUUAACACAUGCAAGUCGAACGGAAAGGCCUCUUUCGGGGGGUACUCGCGUGGCGAACGGGUGAGUAACACGUGAGUAAACUGCCCUUGUCUUUGGGAUAACUUAAGGAAACUGGGGCUAAUACCGGAUAGGAGCUCCUGCUGAACGGUGGGGGCUGGAAAGUUUCGGCGGUUGGGGGUGGCCUCGAGGGGUAUCGGCUUGGUGGUGGGGUAGUGGCUUACCAAGGCGUUGACGGGUAGGCGGCCCGAGGAGGUGACCGGCGACCCUGGGACCGAGGUACGGCCGAGACACCGACGGGUGGCAGCAGUGGGGAAGAUUGCACGAGGGGUGGAGGCCGGGUGCAGCAGCUCCGCGGGCGGGAAGACGGCCUUCUGGGUGUAGACCGCUUUCGCUCAUGACGAAGCUUUGUUUGACGGUAGUUAGUAAAGAAGCACCGGCUAACUACGUG